UGGGGGAUAUUGCACAAUGGGGGAAACCCUGAUGCAGCAACGCCGCGUGAAGGAAGAAGGUCUUCGGAUUGUAAACUUUUGUCCUUGGUGAAGAUAAUGACGGUAGCCAAGGAGGAAGCUCCGGCUAACUACGUGCCAGCAGCCGCGGUAAUACGUAGGGAGCGAGCGUUGUCCGGAUUUACUGGGUGUAAAGGGUGCGUAGGCGGAAGAGCAAGUCAGUAGUGAAAUCCAUGGGCUUAACCCGUGAACUGCUAUUGAAACUGUUCUUCUUGAGUGAAGUAGAGGUAGGCGGAAUUCCCGGUGUAGCGGUGAAAUGCGUAGAGAUCGGGAGGAACACCAGUGGCGAAGGCGGCCUACUGGGCUUUAACUGACGCUGAGGCACGAAAGCAUGGGUAGCAAACAGG
Molecule: ribosomal RNA, 404 nt
Filed under: uncultured bacterium
Lineage: Bacteria
Also listed under: 1 other name
Description: bacterial SSU rRNA
Rfam family: Bacterial small subunit ribosomal RNA
Source: RNAcentral